GGAUGUAGCUCAGUGGUAGAAUGCUUGCCUAACAUGUACAAGGUCCUGGGUUCAAUCCCCAGUACCG
This 67-nucleotide transfer RNA is filed under the name Marmota monax (woodchuck). RNAcentral describes it as "tRNA.Val". The record is from RNAcentral. Lineage: Eukaryota; Metazoa; Chordata; Mammalia; Rodentia; Sciuridae.